Molecule: small RNA, 810 nt
Filed under: Histoplasma capsulatum var. duboisii H88
Lineage: Eukaryota; Fungi; Ascomycota; Eurotiomycetes; Onygenales; Ajellomycetaceae
Description: Histoplasma capsulatum H88 hypothetical RNA
Source: RNAcentral
ACGAACCCAUGCAGGAAUUGAGCUGGUGCAGUCUUCAUUGUGAAGAGCUACUUCUGUGCUGCCUCUUCACCUUCUCACCUGUUAAUCUGAUGUCUUUAAAUUGCUCAAGACUCUCUAUAGCUGAAAUAUCUCUUCUUUUACUUUCUUUCUUUCUACAGCGAUUAUGUGCUUUAUCAGAUUAUUGAUCUCUUUUAUCAAUACUAUGUGAUCUAUUCGUUCCUCACACUAUCUAAAUCUACUCUCACAGAGAUGAAUGCCAAUAUAUAGGGAUAAUGGGGUGACGGAUGUGUUCCAACCAUGGGGACAUAGGAAUGUGUUCUAUCUUCUAACCAAGAGAAAAUGGUGUACAGUGAUGGAUUUGUAGAUGCAGGGGAUAGAGGUCAAAUGGUCUAAAGGUCUUCUGGGCUAACCGUGCUGUGAACAUGGUAGGCGUGGCUUUGAAGGUCCAUCUUGCUCUUGAGGACCACAUCAUCACAGCGCGGGCAUCUGAUCAUGUCUCCAGGCUUGAUGUGCUGUAGGUGUUUUCGUCCGAGGUGCUUGGUCACCCCACCAUGGGUCGAGAAUUUAUCCAGACAGAUGAAGCAGUAGAGUGGCCGACGGACAUUCAUCACGGCUGCCGAUGCAAUCUCCCUUUGAUUGGGAGGCGGAGGAACGUGCACCUCCACCCUGACCUUCUGAAGCGCCUGGGCGGUAGGUCUCUUGUCGUGCGGCUGUCGGCACGUGUCCCCUUCCUCGAAGAGGCAGUAUGCCGCAACCGCAUCGAUCCCCUCGGUGCGUCGAAGCAUCUCGUCCCACAGCGUCUCGCAGGGC